RNAcentral lists this ribosomal RNA (248 nucleotides) under uncultured bacterium. Its description in RNAcentral is "partial 16S ribosomal RNA". It matches the Rfam family "Bacterial small subunit ribosomal RNA", at positions 523 to 769 of the family's 1533-position model. The record is from RNAcentral.
AUACGGAGGGUGCAAGCGUUAAUCGGAAUCACUGGGCGUAAAGCGCGCGUAGGCCGCCUUCUAAGUCGGACGUGAAAGCCCUCGGCUCAACCGAGGAACUGCGUUCGAAACUGGGAGGCUUGAGUCCUGGAGAGGGUGGCGGAAUUCCGGGGUGUAGGAGUGAAAUCCGUAGAUAUCCGGAGGAACACCGGUGGCGAAGGCGGCCACCUGGACAGGUACCGACGCUGAGGCGCGAAAGCGUGGGGAAC